Molecule: ribosomal RNA, 434 nt
Filed under: uncultured Lachnospiraceae bacterium
Lineage: Bacteria; Bacillati; Bacillota; Clostridia; Lachnospirales; Lachnospiraceae
Description: partial 16S ribosomal RNA
Rfam family: Bacterial small subunit ribosomal RNA
Source: RNAcentral
ACGGAAGGCAGCAGUGGGGAAUAUUGCACAAUGGGGGAAACCCUGAUGCAGCGACGCCGCGUGAGUGAAGAAGUAUUUCGGUAUGUAAAGCUCUAUCAGCAGGAAAGAAAAUGACGGUACCUGACUAAGAAGCCCCGGCUAACUACGUGCCAGCAGCCGCGGUAAUACGUAGGGGGCAAGCGUUAUCCGGAUUUACUGGGUGUAAAGGGAGCGUAGACGGCUUUGCAAGUCUGAAGUGAAAGCCCGGGGCUCAACCCCGGAACUGCUUCGGAAACUGUAGAGCUAGAGUGCAGGAGAGGUAAGUGGAAUUCCUAGUGUAGCGGUGAAAUGCGUAGAUAUUAGGAGGAACACCAGUGGCGAAGGCGGCUUACUGGACUGUAACUGACGUUGAGGCUCGAAGGCGUGGGGAGCAAACAGGAUUAGAUACCCUGGUA